UACAGAGGUCCCAAGCGUUAUUCGGAUUCACUGGGCGUAAAGGGUGCGUAGGUGGUGAGGUAAGUCGGAUGUGAAAGCUCGGAGCUCAACUCCGAAAUGGCAUUGGAAACUACCUUGCUCGAGGGUUGGAGGGGGGACUGGAAUGCUUGGUGUAGCAGUGAAAUGCGUAGAUAUCAAGCGGAACACCAGUGGCGAAGGCGAGUCCCUGGACAACUCCUGACACUGAGGCACGAAAGCUAGGGGAGCAAACAGG
This 253-nucleotide ribosomal RNA is filed under the name uncultured bacterium. Its description in RNAcentral is "partial 16S ribosomal RNA". It matches the Rfam family "Bacterial small subunit ribosomal RNA", at positions 524 to 776 of the family's 1533-position model. The record is from RNAcentral.